UGUGAUGACCCUGUCUUCAAGAUAGUCU
RNAcentral lists this non-coding RNA (28 nucleotides) under Rattus norvegicus (Norway rat). Lineage: Eukaryota; Metazoa; Chordata; Mammalia; Rodentia; Muridae. The record is from RNAcentral.